This 378-nucleotide RNase P RNA is filed under the name uncultured Treponema sp. RNAcentral's name for it is "Bacterial RNase P class A". It matches the Rfam family "Bacterial RNase P class A". Rfam says of the family: Ribonuclease P (RNase P) is a ubiquitous endoribonuclease, found in archaea, bacteria and eukarya as well as chloroplasts and mitochondria. Lineage: Bacteria; Pseudomonadati; Spirochaetota; Spirochaetia; Treponematales; Treponemataceae. The record is from RNAcentral.
GUCGCGCGCAUUUUCCUGAUGAUAGGAUUUUUGCGUGAGGUAAAGUCCGGGCUCCACCGGAAAAGAUGCCGGGUAAUAACCGGGCAAGGGAAGAUAGUUGUUCUUUGGAGCAAUCCUCAGAGCAUAACUCUUUGCUUGACAGAAAGUGCUACAGAAAAUUACCGCCCGCAAGGGUAAGGGUGAAAAGGCAGGGUAAGAGCCUACCGCGUCUCUGGCAACAGCGACGGCAUAAGCAAACCUCAUCUGGAGCAAAAUCAUGCAGCAGUUUGGCGUUCCGGACUUAUACUGCGGGUAGAUUGCUGGAGGCAUCGGGUAACCGGUGUUGCGGAUAGAUGGCCAUGUGUGGUUUUUGCCACAUACCAGAACCCGGCUUACCAU